GACGAACGCUGGCGGCGUGCUUAACACAUGCAAGUCGAACGGAAAGGCCCUGCUUUUGUGGGGUGCUCGAGUGGCGAACGGGUGAGUAACACGUGAGUAACCUGCCCUUGACUUUGGGAUAACUUCAGGAAACUGGGGCUAAUACCGGAUAGGAGCUCCUGCUGCAUGGUGGGGGUUGGAAAGUUUCGGCGGUUGGGGAUGGACUCGCGUCUUAUCAGCUUGUUGGUGGGGUAGUGGCUUACCAAGGCUUUGACGGGUAGCCGGCCUGAGAGGGUGACCGGCCACAUUGGGACUGAGAUACGGCCCAGACUCCUACGGGGGGCAGCAGUGGGGAAUAUUGCACAAUGGGCGGAAGCCUGAUGCAGCAACGCCGCGUGCGGGAUGACGGCCUUCGGGUUGUAAACCGCUUUCGCCUGUGACGAAGCGUGAGUGACGGUAAUGGGUAAAGAAGCACCGGCUAACUACGUG
RNAcentral lists this ribosomal RNA (468 nucleotides) under uncultured bacterium. RNAcentral's name for it is "partial 16S ribosomal RNA". It matches the Rfam family "Bacterial small subunit ribosomal RNA", at positions 28 to 507 of the family's 1533-position model. The record is from RNAcentral.